CUAAGAAUCUUCUGCAAUGGACGAAAGUCUGACAGAGCGACGCCGCGUGGGUGAUGAAGGCCGGAAGGUUGUAAAGCCCUUUUCUAUCUGAGGAAUAACCACUUGAGGCAAUGCGAGUGGGAUGACGGUAGGGUAGGAAUAAGCCCCGGCCAAUUACGUGCCAGCAGCCGCGGUAACACGUAUGGGGCGAGCGUUGUUCGGAAUCAUUGGGCGUAAAGGGCGCGUAGGCGGAAAUGCAAGCUUGGUGUGAAAACCCGCAGCUCAACUGCGGAUCCGCGCUGAGAACUGCAUAUCUAGAGUUCAAGAGGGGAAGCUGGAAUUCCUGGUGUAGGGGUGAAAUCUGUAGAGAUCAGGAAGAACAUCAGUGGCGAAGGCGAGCUUCUGGCUAUGAACUGACGCUAAGGCGCGAAAGCGUGGGGAGCGAACAGGAUUAGAUACCCCCGUAGUCC
Molecule: ribosomal RNA, 449 nt
Filed under: uncultured prokaryote
Description: bacterial SSU rRNA
Rfam family: Bacterial small subunit ribosomal RNA
Source: RNAcentral